AGUGAACGCUGGCGGUAGGCCUAACACAUGCAAGUCGAACGGCAGCACAGGAGAGCUUGCUCUCUGGGUGGCGAGUGGCGGACGGGUGAGGAAUAUAUCGGAAUCUACUCUGUCGUGGGGGAUAACGUAGGGAAACUUACGCUAAUACCGCAUACGACCUACGGGUUAAAGCAGGGGACCUUCGGGCCUUGCGCGAUUGAAUGAGCCGAUGUCGGAUUAGCUAGUUGGCGGGGUGAAGGCCCACCAAGGCGACGAUCCGUAGCUGGUCUGAGAGGAUGAUCAGCCACACUGGAACUGAGACACGGUCCAGACUCCUACGGGAGGCAGCAGUGGGGAAUAUUGGACAAUGGGCGCAAGCCUGAUCCAGCCAUACCGCGUGGGUGAAGAAGGCCUUCGGGUUGUAAAGCCCUUUUGUUGGGAAAGAAAUCCAGCUGGCUAAUACCCGGUUGGGAUGACGGUACCCAAAGAAUAAGCACCGGCUAACUUCGUGCCAGCCGCCGCAGUAA
Molecule: ribosomal RNA, 506 nt
Filed under: uncultured bacterium
Lineage: Bacteria
Description: partial 16S ribosomal RNA
Rfam family: Bacterial small subunit ribosomal RNA
Source: RNAcentral